RNAcentral lists this ribosomal RNA (366 nucleotides) under Salmonella enterica. RNAcentral's name for it is "bacterial SSU rRNA". It matches the Rfam family "Bacterial small subunit ribosomal RNA", at positions 1153 to 1518 of the family's 1533-position model. RNAcentral also lists the same sequence under 6 other names. The record is from RNAcentral. Lineage: Bacteria; Pseudomonadati; Pseudomonadota; Gammaproteobacteria; Enterobacterales; Enterobacteriaceae.
CAGUGAUAAACUGGAGGAAGGUGGGGAUGACGUCAAGUCAUCAUGGCCCUUACGACCAGGGCUACACACGUGCUACAAUGGCGCAUACAAAGAGAAGCGACCUCGCGAGAGCAAGCGGACCUCAUAAAGUGCGUCGUAGUCCGGAUUGGAGUCUGCAACUCGACUCCAUGAAGUCGGAAUCGCUAGUAAUCGUGGAUCAGAAUGCCACGGUGAAUACGUUCCCGGGCCUUGUACACACCGCCCGUCACACCAUGGGAGUGGGUUGCAAAAGAAGUAGGUAGCUUAACCUUCGGGAGGGCGCUUACCACUUUGUGAUUCAUGACUGGGGUGAAGUCGUAACAAGGUAACCGUAGGGGAACCUGCGGU